Mytilus californianus (California mussel) is the source of this 1521-nucleotide long non-coding RNA. RefSeq lists it as uncharacterized. The transcript has 2 exons. The record is from RefSeq and is a predicted model, not a curated record. Lineage: Eukaryota; Metazoa; Mollusca; Bivalvia; Mytilida; Mytilidae.
UUUUUAUACGACCGCAAAAAAAUUUUUGUGGUCGUAUAUUGGUAUGACGUUGGCGUCGUCGUCCGGCGUCUUCGUCCGAAUACACAUUAGUUUUCGCACUCUAACUUUAGUUUAAGUGAAUGGAUCUCAAUGAAAUUUUACCAUAAGGUUCAAUACCACAAAAGGAAGGUGGGGAUUGAUUUUGGGGGUUAUGGUACUAACAGUUAAGGAAUUAGGGGCCAAAAGGGGCCAAAAAUAAGCAUUUUUGUAACUUCCAGACAUAACUUGUGUGUAAGUGUAUGGAUCUCUCUGACAUUGUACCACAAGGUUCCAUAUCACAAAGGGAAUGCUGGGAUUGAUUUUGGGGGUAAUUGCCUCCAAAUUUUAGGAAUUAGGGGCCAAAAAGGGGCAAAAAACAAGCAUAUUUCUAGUUUCAUGACAAUAUCUUGUUUGUAAGUGUAUGGAUCUUUAUGAAAUUUUACUACAAGGUUCCAUAUCACAAAGGGAAUACUGGGAUUGAUUUUUGGGGUAAUUUCCUCCAAAUUUUAGGAAUUAGGGGCCAAAAAGGGGCAAAAAACAAGCAUUUUUCUAGUUUCAUGACAAUAACUUGUUUGUAAGUGUAUGGAUCUUUAUGAAAUUGUACUACAAGGUUCCAUAUCACAAAGGGAAAGCUGGAAUUGAGUUUGGGGGUAAUUGCCCUAAACGUUUAGGAAUUUGGGGCCAAAAAGGGGCCAAAAAACAAGCAUUUUUAUACGACCGCAAAAAAAUUUUUGUGGUCGUAUAUUGGUAUGACGUUGGCGUCGUCGGCGUCGUCGUCCGAAUACACAUUAGUUUUCGCACUCUUAACUUUAGUUUAAGUGAAUGGAUCUCAAUGAAAUUUUACCAUAAGGUUCAAUACCACAAAAGGAAGGUGGGGAUUGAUUUUGGGGGUUAUGGUACUAACAGUUAAGGAAUUAGGGGCCAAAAAUAAGCAUUUUUGUAACUUCCAGACAUAACUUGUGUGUAAGUAUAUGGAUCUCUCUGACAUUGUACCACAAGGUUCCAUAUCACAAAGGGAAUGCUGGGAUUGAUUUUGGGGGUAAUUGCCUCCAAAUUUUAGGAAUUAGGGGCCAAAAAGGGGCAAAAAACAAGCAUUUUUCUAGUUUCAUGACAAUAACUUGUGUGUUAGUGUAUGGAUCUCUCUGACAUUGUAUCACAAGAUUCCAUAUCACAAAGGGAAUACUGGGAUUGAUUUUUGGGGGUAAUUUCCUCCAAAUUUGGGGAAUUAGGGGCCAAAAAGGGGCAAAAAACUAGCAUUUUUCUAGUUUCAGGACAAUAACUUGUGUGUUAGUGUAUGGAUCUUUAUGAAAUUGUACUGCAAGGUUCCAUAUCACAAAGGGAAAGCUGGGUUGGAGUUUGGGGGUAAUUGCCCUAAACGUUUAGGAAUUAGGGGCCAAAAAGGGACAAAAAAACAAGCAUUUUUCUAGUUUCCAGACAAUAACUUGUGUUCAAGUGAAUGGAUCUCUCUAAAAUUGUACUGCAAGGUACCAUACCACAAAGGGA